UUGAGACAAAGUUCUGAGACACUCUGACUCUGAGUAUGAUAGAAGUCAGUGCACUACAGAACUUUGUCUCUAG
Non-coding RNA from Rattus norvegicus (Norway rat), 73 nucleotides. Lineage: Eukaryota; Metazoa; Chordata; Mammalia; Rodentia; Muridae. The record is from Rfam.